Molecule: ribosomal RNA, 253 nt
Filed under: uncultured bacterium
Lineage: Bacteria
Description: partial 16S ribosomal RNA
Rfam family: Bacterial small subunit ribosomal RNA
Source: RNAcentral
UACGAGGGGGGCAAAUGUUGUUCGGAAUCACUGGGCGUAAAGGGAGCGUAGGCGGGUUCUUAAGUAAGGUGUUUAAUCCCGGGGCCCAACCCCGGACCGGCACUUUAAACUGGGAAUCUUGAAUAGUGGAGAGGUCAGUGGAAUUGGGGGUGUAGCGGUGGAAUGCGUAGAGAUCCCCAAGAACACCAGUUGCGAAGGCGGCCGACUGGACACAUAUUGACGCUGAGGCUCGAAAGCAUGGGGAGCAAACAGG